RNAcentral lists this ribosomal RNA (1331 nucleotides) under Microbacterium sp. RNAcentral's name for it is "bacterial SSU rRNA". It matches the Rfam family "Bacterial small subunit ribosomal RNA", at positions 85 to 1427 of the family's 1533-position model. The record is from RNAcentral. Lineage: Bacteria; Bacillati; Actinomycetota; Actinomycetes; Micrococcales; Microbacteriaceae.
UUGUGGAUCAGUGGCGAACGGGUGAGUAACACGUGAGCAACCUGCCCCUGACUCUGGGAUAAGCGCUGGAAACGGCGUCUAAUACUGGAUAUGUGACGUGACCGCAUGGUCUGCGUUUGGAAAGAUUUUUCGGUUGGGGAUGGGCUCGCGGCCUAUCAGCUUGUUGGUGAGGUAAUGGCUCACCAAGGCGUCGACGGGUAGCCGGCCUGAGAGGGUGACCGGCCACACUGGGACUGAGACACGGCCCAGACUCCUACGGGAGGCAGCAGUGGGGAAUAUUGCACAAUGGGCGAAAGCCUGAUGCAGCAACGCCGCGUGAGGGAUGACGGCCUUCGGGUUGUAAACCUCUUUUAGCAGGGAAGAAGCGAAAGUGACGGUACCUGCAGAAAAAGCGCCGGCUAACUACGUGCCAGCAGCCGCGGUAAUACGUAGGGCGCAAGCGUUAUCCGGAAUUAUUGGGCGUAAAGAGCUCGUAGGCGGUUUGUCGCGUCUGCUGUGAAAUCCCGAGGCUCAACCUCGGGCCUGCAGUGGGUACGGGCAGACUAGAGUGCGGUAGGGGAGAUUGGAAUUCCUGGUGUAGCGGUGGAAUGCGCAGAUAUCAGGAGGAACACCGAUGGCGAAGGCAGAUCUCUGGGCCGUAACUGACGCUGAGGAGCGAAAGGGUGGGGAGCAAACAGGCUUAGAUACCCUGGUAGUCCACCCCGUAAACGUUGGGAACUAGUUGUGGGGUCCAUUCCACGGAUUCCGUGACGCAGCUAACGCAUUAAGUUCCCCGCCUGGGGAGUACGGCCGCAAGGCUAAAACUCAAAGGAAUUGACGGGGACCCGCACAAGCGGCGGAGCAUGCGGAUUAAUUCGAUGCAACGCGAAGAACCUUACCAAGGCUUGACAUAUACGAGAACGGGCCAGAAAUGGUCAACUCUUUGGACACUCGUAAACAGGUGGUGCAUGGUUGUCGUCAGCUCGUGUCGUGAGAUGUUGGGUUAAGUCCCGCAACGAGCGCAACCCUCGUUCUAUGUUGCCAGCACGUAAUGGUGGGAACUCAUGGGAUACUGCCGGGGUCAACUCGGAGGAAGGUGGGGAUGACGUCAAAUCAUCAUGCCCCUUAUGUCUUGGGCUUCACGCAUGCUACAAUGGCCGGUACAAAGGGCUGCAAUACCGUGAGGUGGAGCGAAUCCCAAAAAGCCGGUCCCAGUUCGGAUUGAGGUCUGCAACUCGACCUCAUGAAGUCGGAGUCGCUAGUAAUCGCAGAUCAGCAACGCUGCGGUGAAUACGUUCCCGGGUCUUGUACACACCGCCCGUCAAGUCAUGAAAGUCGGUAACACCUGAAGC